AUUUGAAGAAGGAGCAAGUCUGAUUCAUUGUUGUUCAUUGGUGCGGGGACUGGGCGUUAGGUGCUGAAAAAAUUAUGUCAAAACAACUCAAUCUGUCAAUGCUGUAAUCAAUUCUUUCACUUCGACGAAAACCAAGACCUCUCUCUCGGACUCUUAGUCCCCUUGACCGUCGAGUAGCAGCACGGUAUCUGUUGGAGCGUCUAUGGUGGAUAGGAUUCAUUAAAGCUGGAAUUUUUUUGAAUCCAAUUGUCAGGCCUAUCAAUUACCCUGCAUUAUAUGAGGGAGAAGAUUUAUAGACAUGCGUUUUGCUCUAUGGACCUCUAG
This 324-nucleotide long non-coding RNA is filed under the name Rosa chinensis. Its description in RNAcentral is "sRNA RchiOBHm_Chr2g0120291". The record is from RNAcentral. Lineage: Eukaryota; Viridiplantae; Streptophyta; Magnoliopsida; Rosales; Rosaceae.